Molecule: ribosomal RNA, 440 nt
Filed under: uncultured bacterium
Lineage: Bacteria
Description: partial 16S ribosomal RNA
Rfam family: Bacterial small subunit ribosomal RNA
Source: RNAcentral
CCUACGGGAGGCAGCAGUAGGGAAUAUUGCGCAAUGGGGGAAACCCUGAAGCAGCAACGCCGCGUGGAGGAUGAGGGUUUUCGGAUGGUAAGCUCUUUUUGUUAGAGCAGAAAAUGACGGUAUCUAACGAAUAAUCACCGGCUAACGCCGUGCCAGCAGCCGCGGUAAUACGGAGGGUGCAAGCGUUCCUCGGAAUCACUGGGCGUAAAGAGCGCGUAGGCGGGAUUGCAAGUCAGAUGUGAAAUCCUAUGGCUUAACCAUAGGACUGCAUUUGAUAAUGUUAUUGUAGAGUAUGGGAGAGGUAGGUGGAAUUCUUGGUGUAGGGGUGAAAUGCGUAGAGAUCAGGAGGAAUACUCAUUGCGAAGGCGACCUGCUAGAACAUAACUGACGCUGAUGCGCGAAAGCGUGGGGAGCAAACAGGAUUAGAUACCCCGGUAGUC